Long non-coding RNA from Triticum urartu, 2699 nucleotides. RefSeq lists it as uncharacterized. Lineage: Eukaryota; Viridiplantae; Streptophyta; Magnoliopsida; Poales; Poaceae. The record is from RefSeq and is a predicted model, not a curated record.
UCUGCAGUGAGAUAGCGAAGGGAGAAGGGCGCGCAGUGCCAAAAAUUUCGACUAAAUUAGGUCUCCUUCACCCGUGCCUCAAAGCGUUCGACGCCGCCGGAGAAAAUCUCCCCCACUCUUCUGUCCGCAAUCUUCCUCUCCCACAUCGCCAUGGCCCGCCGCGCGCCACCACCCCGCCGCGCCCCUACCGGCCCUGAUCCGCCGCGUCGUCUCUUCUUUCCCUUCUCUGCCACGGAUCUGACUGCCGCCACCACCGUCGCCUCCGCAACGCCACGUCGACCUCGAUCUCCUCCUCGACGCGGUUGUUCCCGAUGAGCUCCUCCCCGAUGGCCCCCUCUCCUGCACCUCGAGCAGUACGGCGAGGACAACGGCAUCCACCUCACCGCUAGAUCAAGAUCGCAUCCACCACCUCGACUUCUCUCCAAAGGUUCUCUCCCUGUCUCUCAAACUCUGGUUUAGGUAGAUUUAUAUGUUCUGAUGUGUUCGGUGUGCAGAUAAAGCAAGCGAUGCUCGUCUCUGUGAUUUGCUUGUUAAGAAAUUAUGCAUAGAUUACCUGACUGCUGCUUUCGGUUAGCUUGCCGUUGUGGUAGAAUAUCAGUUUGCCCUUUGCACGUCCGCUUCUGCAGGUUUAGUAGUACAUGUCUAUCAAUUUAGGUGUUUCAGCUUGCACGUUUUGUCCAGAUCCAGAACUUAAAAGUAGCACUUUCACCUAAGAGAUCUAGCAGGUAAAUCUUUUUAGUUCAAGUUCAGAUUUAAAGACAGAUAUAUGGUAUCUAGGAUGCAGGUUGGCCAUGCUCGUAGUGGCAGAGCUUGAAAGAAAUCUAAGGAGGGGCAAAGAAAAAUAUAAUCAAAUAAAAAAUCAUAUCUCUGUAAGGGAUGCAAGCGGACAACGUCUGCAUAUCCGCGAAGCAAAAAUUACACUAUCUUUGUUACUUUAACAACCAUGUUAGUUUAUUUUUUUCCUUCUGCAGACGCUCAUGAACGCCGUCCACUUAAACAAGUUAGAUUUUGCAGAAUAUUGAGAACAUAGAUAAUUACAUUGAUCUUAUCCACAUUAGAUUACAAAAUACAUUUCUGACAUUAAUUAUAUAUAAGCUACUUUGUAACAAAUGAAACUGAACCAAAAUACUAAUUAAAUAUGGAGUAUUGAGUUAAUCACUAAAGAUCAACUCUUUGUUUCUUUCCGCUCCUAAAUUGCAUAAGAAAUUCAUGGCUGUGAUUUUACUCUCUGUGCUUAACACAAGCUACUGGAUAGUAAAUCAUCUUCCAACAUAUUACUAUGUAGCAUUGUCUUAUUAAUCUUCAGAGUAGAAAAUACACGCUCGACACUUGUUGUAGAAAAUGUAAAAUCAAUGGUCUUUCUUUUAACCAUUACAUCUCUAAAAACAAUUUUUAAUUAGAACUACAACUAGUUAAGAUGAAACAUGCAAGAAUCUACACUGAAAAGGUGUAAUCAUAAGAGUUGGACUCCAGUAUAGCAGGAUUAAAUUCCAGGCUAGACUGCUCUUGCUGCUCACAACCUCACUUUUACGCAAUGCUGGCAGUGGCCUGAUGACUAAGCACCACCGUGACUAGAGGAGCCCAGGAGCUCUAAGCACCAGCCUCAGGCAUCUGGCCCCAACGCCGGCAAGCUCUAGUUGUCUGUGUCCCGGUUCCCUGACCCCCGCUCACGCGUCGCCGGUCGCAAAGUCCACGCUAGACAAAAGAGCAUAAGACACACUACAGUAUUGGGUCGCUGCUUGUUUUUCUCCGAUGCAGAGCGCGAGAAGGAUGUGUUAACUGCCGUAUUGGUUGUAGUGUGCAGUACUACUACCUAGUACUAAAAAAAUUCCUUUUCGCUGGGCGGUGACCGCCCAGGUUUGCCCCCAUGAAGCUCCGCCAUUGCAUGCUAGUGCCCUGGAUACUAUGGCAACUAGAUUGUUGAUUGUUUGUGUGGGCAAAGCAACCAAAGUUGUUGAUAGGUACUCUUUUGUCCUCUCUUUUCAGGGAAAUUGUGAUGGUUGCUGGAACAAUCUUCCUUCUAAUGAUCCCAUUUCAGUUUUAAGUUCUCAGUUGCUAUGACUUGGAAUGAUAUCCUUGGUAGUUGUCUCUCUUGCACAGCUGCACUACCUUUUUGUUAACUUAAAACAUAUUUCCUGACUGAAUGUUUUCGUGAUUUAAAGGUACCAAGGAUUGUUUAGAGAUUACAUUGUUGUUUUCUAGCUUGGAGAAGCAACAUCAACUUGGGAUGCAGAUUCACCAAUAUAUGUAUAUGCGUCUCAUAGGGGGGAGCUCUUGCACGGAUAUCCUUGAAACGAGCCAAGAACCACUAAAUUUGUGUGCUCAGGAACAUGCAGAUCAUGACCAUAAUGUCACUUUGGAUGCUUCUCCCCAAGAUUUGAAUCUGGAGCCUGACGCAGGUGUUGCAGGGAUGGUUGGAUUUUUAUUGAUAAUGCAUCUGGAAUUAACUCACUCGGCUCUAUCUCUCUUGGGAAGGCAACCCCUUGAUAGUUAAUGAUUUUGGGUGCAUGUAUAGAUAGCAUGUUGUAACAAGUUUUUUUGAUACUCAGCGUGACCAACAUUGCUUGUACAUAUUGGUCAAGGUGUUCUACUUGCAAUAACUAACUUCAGCUAUAGCUAUAUUUUUUGAAUUUGGCUUUAAGUUGACCAUCUAUCUGAUGUAUGUGUUCAUUCAUUAUGAAUUUGAUGUGUAUGAUGAA